AUGAUGGGUAGGGGAGCUUCCCAUACGGGUUGAAGCAUGACCGUAAGGACAUGUGGACAGUAUGGGAGUGAGAAUGUUGGCAUGAGUAGCGAGAUGUGGGUGAGAAUCCCACAGGCCGUAAACCCAAGGUUUCCAGGGGAAGGUUCGUCCGCCCUGGGUUAGUCGGGACCUAAGCUGAGGCCGAAAGGCGUAGGUGAUGGACAACAGGUUGAUAUUCCUGUACUACCGAUAACCGUUUGAGAGAAGGGAUGACACAGUAGGAUAAGCUAAGCACACUGUUGGUUAUGUGUGCCCAAGCAUUGAGGCAGUCAAAGCAGGCAAAUCCGCUUUGAUAAUGCUGGGAUGUGAUGGGGAGCGAAAUUUAGUAGCGAAGUAGCUGAUUUCACACUGUCAAGAAAAGUCUCUAUCGAGGUUAAAGGUACCCGUACCGCAAACCGACACAGGUGGGUGAGGAGAGUAUCCUAAGGCCAGCGAGAGAACUGUUGUUAAGGAACUCGGCAAAAUGACCCCGUAACUUAGGGAUAAGGGGUGCCACCAUCCGGUGGCCGCAGAGAAUAGGCCCAAGCGACUGUUUACCAAAAACAUAGGUUUCUGCUAAGUCGCAAGACGAUGUAUAGGAGCUGACGCCUGCCCGGUGCUGGAAGGUUAAGGGGAUCUGUUAGAGCAAUCGAAGCAGUGAACUUAAGCCCCAGUAAACGGCGGCCGUAACUAUAACGGUCCUAAGGUAGCGAAAUUCCUUGUCGGGUAAGUUCCGACCCGCACGAAAGGCGUAACGAUUUGGGCACUGUCUCAACAACAGACUCGGUGAAAUUGUAAUUCCGGUGAAGAUGCCGGAUACCUGCGACAGGACGGAAAGACCCCAUGGAGCUUUACUGUAGCUUGACAUUGGGUCUUGGUACUACAUGUACAGGAUAGGUGGGAGGCUUUGAAACCAGGACGCCAGUUUUGGCGGAGCCAUCCUUGGGAUACCACCCUUGUAGUACUGGGACUCUAACCAUAGGCCAUGAAUCUGGUCUUGGGACACUGUCAGGUGGGCAGUUUGACUGGGGCGGUCGCCUCCCAAAAGGUAACGGAGGCGCUCAAAGGUUCUCUCAGUACGGUCGGAAAUCGUACGUAGAGUGUAAAGGCAAAAGAGAGCUUGAUUGCAAGACAUACAGGUCGAGCAAGGAUGAAAAUCGGACUUAGUGAUCCGGUGGUUCUGCGUGGAAGGGCCAUCGCUCAACGGAUAAAAGCUACCCUGGGGAUAACAGGCUUAUCUCCCCCAAGAGUCCACAUCGACGGGGAGGUUUGGCACCUCGAUGUCGGCUCAUCACAUCCUGGGGCUGUAGUAGGUCCCAAGGGUUGGGCUGUUCGCCCAUUAAAGUGGUACGCGAGCUGGGUUCAGAACGUCGUGAGACAGUUCGGUCCCUAUCCGUCGCAGGCGUAGGAAAUUUGAGAAGACCUGUCCUUAGUACGAGAGGACCGGGAUGGACGUACCUCUGGUGUACCAGUUGUUCUGCCAAGGGCAUGGCUGGGUAGCUAUGUACGGAAUGGAUAAGCGCUGAAAGCAUCUAAGCGCGAAGCCAACUUCAAGAUAAGAUUUCCCACCGCAAGGGUAAGACCCCAGAAAGACUAUCUGGUUGAUAGGUCGAAGGUGUAAGUGCAGCAAUGUAUUUAGCUUAUCGAUACUAAUAGGUCGAGGACUUGACCAA
RNAcentral lists this ribosomal RNA (1691 nucleotides) under Clostridioides difficile. RNAcentral describes it as "partial 23S ribosomal RNA". It matches the Rfam family "Bacterial large subunit ribosomal RNA", at positions 1221 to 2925 of the family's 2925-position model. The record is from RNAcentral. Lineage: Bacteria; Bacillati; Bacillota; Clostridia; Peptostreptococcales; Peptostreptococcaceae.